RNAcentral lists this ribosomal RNA (542 nucleotides) under uncultured bacterium. RNAcentral's name for it is "bacterial SSU rRNA". It matches the Rfam family "Bacterial small subunit ribosomal RNA", at positions 777 to 1320 of the family's 1533-position model. The record is from RNAcentral.
AAUAGAUACCAGGUAGUCCACCCCGUAAACGUUGGGAACUAGUUGUGGGGUCCUUUCCACGGAUUCCGUGACGCAGCUAACGCAUUAAGUUCCCCGCCUGGGGAGUACGGCCGCAAGGCUAAAACUCAAAGGAAUUGACGGGGACCCGCACAAGCGGCGGAGCAUGCGGAUUAAUUCGAUGCAACGCGAAGAACCUUACCAAGGCUUGACAUACACCGGAAACGGCCAGAGAUGGUCGCCCCGCAAGGUCGGUGUACAGGUGGUGCAUGGUUGUCGUCAGCUCGUGUCGUGAGAUGUUGGGUUAAGUCCGCAACGAGCGCAACCCUCGUUCUAUGUUGCCAGCACGUAAUGGUGGGAACUCAUGGGAUACUGCCGGGGUCAACUCGGAGGAAGGUGGGGAUGACGUCAAAGUCAUCAUGCCCCUUAUGUCUUGGGCUUCACGCAUGCUACAAUGGCCGGUACAAAGGGCUGCAAUACCGUGAGGUGGAGCGAAUCCCAAAAAGCCGGUCCCAGUUCGGAUUGAGGUCUGCAACUCGACCUCA